UGGGGAAUUUUGGACAAUGGGCGAANCCUGAUCCAGCAAUGCCGCGUGUGUGAAGAAGGCCUUCGGGUUGUAAAGCACUUUUGUCCGGAAAGAAAUCCUUGGCUCUAAUACAGUCGGGGGAUGACGGUACCGGAAGAAUAAGCACCGGCUAACUACGUGCCAGCAGCCGCGGUAAUACGUAGGGUGCAAGCGUUAAUCGGAAUUACUGGGCGUAAAGCGUGCGCAGGCGGUUUGCUAAGACCGAUGUGAAAUCCCCGGGCUCAACCUGGGAACUGCAUUGGUGACUGGCAGGCUAGAGUAUGGCAGAGGGGGGUAGAAUUCCACGUGUAGCAGUGAAAUGCGUAGAGAUGUGGAGGAAUACCGAUGGCGAAGGCAGCCCCCUGGGCCAAUACUGACGCUCAUGCACGAAAGCGUGGGGAGCAAACAGGAUUAGAUACCCUGGUAGUCCACGCCCUAAACGAUGUCAACUAGUUGUUGGGGAUUCAUUCCUUAGUAACGUAGCUAACGCGUGAAGUUGACCGCCUGGGGAGUACGGUCGCAAGAUUAAAACUCAAAGGAAUUGACGGGGUCAUAGCUG
This 577-nucleotide ribosomal RNA is filed under the name uncultured bacterium. Its description in RNAcentral is "partial 16S ribosomal RNA". It matches the Rfam family "Bacterial small subunit ribosomal RNA", at positions 355 to 932 of the family's 1533-position model. The record is from RNAcentral.